GCCGGAGUGGUGAAAUUGGUAGACGCGCUGGACUCAAAAUCCAGUAUCGGCAACGAUGUGAGAGUUCGAGUCUCUCCUCCGGCA
Molecule: transfer RNA, 84 nt
Filed under: bacterium
Lineage: Bacteria
Description: tRNA-Leu
Rfam family: tRNA
About the family: Transfer RNA (tRNA) molecules are approximately 80 nucleotides in length. Their secondary structure includes four short double-helical elements and three loops (D, anti-codon, and T loops).
Source: RNAcentral